This 331-nucleotide unclassified non-coding RNA is filed under the name soil metagenome. RNAcentral's name for it is "partial contains 5.8S ribosomal RNA, internal transcribed spacer 2, and large subunit ribosomal RNA". The stretch from base 1 to 120 matches the Rfam family "5.8S ribosomal RNA", at positions 35 to 154 of the family's 154-position model. The record is from RNAcentral.
GAUGAAGAACGCAGCGAAAUGCGAUAAGUAAUGUGAAUUGCAGAAUUCAGUGAAUCAUCGAAUCUUUGAACGCACAUUGCGCCCCCUGGUAUUCCGGGGGGCAUGCCUGUUCGAGCGUCAUUUCACCACUCAAGCCUCGCUUGGUAUUGGGCAUCGCGGUCCGCCGCGCGCCUCAAAUCGACCGGCUGGGUCUUCUGUCCCCUAAGCGUUGUGGAAACUAUUCGCUAAAGGGUGUUCGGGAGGCUACGCCGUAAAACAACCCCAUUUCUAAGGUUGACCUCGGAUCAGGUAGGGAUACCCGCUGAACUUCAGCAUAUCAAUAAGCGGAGGA